UGAUCGAGAUGACUCAUUCGAAUGUCACUCAACAACUGUCAUGUACAACCUUACCGGGUGUUGGUGGAUUUAUUUGGAAUGAGUCAAACCAUCAUGGCCAUAACUGGUUUCUACCUACAGGAGCAGCCAAUCAGCUACGGUGGCUCAAUUUAUGAGCACCCCUUCAGCACUCGGCAGCAGCGUCGCCACAAACAUGGACGACAGAGGAGAGAGCGGAGGAGAGGAAGCUAAUCGCAACCUUGGCUUCAAUCCAAAUCAAACAGGGCGGAUUGGUGCCGGGUUACCAUGACAACCGCCCUUCCUGCCCCAGUCAGUGAUGACAUUUAGGGGGGUUCACUGAGCUGAGCCCGGCCCAAACGUGAGCUGCAUAGAUGAACACCGAGUGAAACCGCACAUCAGACACCUUUACA
Molecule: long non-coding RNA, 410 nt
Organism: Esox lucius (northern pike)
Lineage: Eukaryota; Metazoa; Chordata; Actinopteri; Esociformes; Esocidae
Source: Ensembl